Molecule: small RNA, 330 nt
Filed under: uncultured bacterium
Lineage: Bacteria
Description: bacterial SSU rRNA
Rfam family: Bacterial small subunit ribosomal RNA (bases 1-256)
Source: RNAcentral
CGGACGGGUGAGUAAUGUCUGGGAAGCUGCCUGAUGGAGGGGGAUAACUACUGGAAACGGUAGCUAAUACCGCAUAAUGUCGCAAGACCAAAGAGGGGGACCUUCGGGCCUCUUGCCAUCGGAUGUGCCCAGAUGGGAUUAGCUUGUUGGUGGGGUAACGGCUCACCAAGGCGACGAUCCCUAGCUGGUCUGAGAGGAUGACCAGCCACACUGGAACUGAGACACGGUCCAGACUCCUACGGGAGGCAGCAGUGGGACUCCUACGGGAGGCAGCAGUGGGACUCCUACGGGAGGCAGCAGUGGGACAGUUGGCUCAGAACGAACGCUGGC